RNAcentral lists this long non-coding RNA (2378 nucleotides) under Sus scrofa (pig). RNAcentral describes it as "lncRNA (ENSSSCG00060013830.1)". Lineage: Eukaryota; Metazoa; Chordata; Mammalia; Artiodactyla; Suidae. The record is from RNAcentral.
AUGAGGGAGCAGCAUGGCACAGAACGCUAGGUCGAACUGGGGGCAUAGCUGGGAUGAGGAGAGAAAACAACCUAAUGGAGUAGAGGAAGCAUCUGGGACAGUGUGAGCUGGGGAGAGAACGUGGGGUCAGAUUAUAAAAGGUCUUAAAAAAUAGGCAGGGAGUUUGUAUGUUUAAAACCAUCAGUCCUGGUGCUGGAAGGAACCAAAGAGGUCAUCUUUCCUAGCUCACAGAUUUCAGGCAGGAAAGAUGCUCCCUUCUUAAUAUAAAACAAACAGCUGAGGCUCAGAGAUUUGGUUAGAGAUGGAGGGUAAGCUAGAAUUAUGGUUUCUUGCUUCCUCAUUUGAUGCUUGUUAUAGCUCAUCGCACCGAACUUGACUUGCCCUUCAGAAUAAAAAAUAACUGUUUUGCCUAACAAGCUGUCUUAUUUUUAUAGGCUGUUACUAUUUAAAACUGCUUCACAUUUCUAAAGUGCCAACAAGGAAUCACAGGUUCUUAAGGAGAAUUUCUUGGCAGUGACAUAAUAAAAGCAUUUCAGAAGGAUGAGCCUGUCAAAAGCAUUCUAAAUAGAUCAUUAAGAGAGAGAGACUGGAGUGAGGAAAGGGGGACAAAUAAAAGAGGCCCCCGAGAUGCCCUGGAAACGGGGCCCAGAGGCAAGGCAAGAAUUCCAGAUGAUGCCAGAAGAAGGCUGAGCCACUGACAGAACUGGGGAGGACCAGAACGAGAGCCAGCUCUGAUGGAAAAGAUUCUACAUUUAGGGGAAGGAGGCUGAUGUUUAGGAGGAGGCUGAAGAUAGAAGACUAGACAUCUGUGUGAGGUUGAUGCUGGAAACAGAUUUAGGCAUCAUUAAUGCCGAGAUAAAGAUAGAAGCUAUGAAAAAGGAUGAGUACACCAAGGGUGAGAGUCUUAUGAGAAAACUCAAGGUGGAAGGUGAACGGCCGGGCGCUGGGGACAGGGGAGCAGGAUGUUCGGCUGAGGAAAGAAGGAGGUGACGAGAGAACAGAAGAAUUCCAAAGGGCAGGGUCACAGAAAUCCAGGCGGCAGUGGCCUGGAGCAGAAAAGCAGCGUUCGGCAGCACUGAAUGUUCAACGACAGGCGCCGAGGAGGGAACAGGAGGGCAGAAAACAGGAGACCGAAAGCAUUAAGACGACGGCGAGCAACCUUCCAGAAACAAAAUGCAGACCCGGGCAGGCAUUUCAGAAGACCCGAGACCACGUGGCCAGUGUUCCUUUCUUUCCCCUUGGUCGGCUGUUGGGCUUUCCUUGCUGGCUCUGCAGGAGCCUGAGCUUCAGCGCAUCCCCAGAGGACUGCAGAGCACCGUCCAAAACCAAUGGAAAAGUGACGUGAACCCGGCCAUGAGGUAAUGCCGUGGAAAAGCCCUGUGCUAGGGCUGCUUUACGAGAACCACCUCCUGACACAUCUGGCACUGCAAGCCCAAUAGGACGCACCGGGAGGGAUUUUUGUUUGUCGGAGGAAAGGAAAAAAAAAAAAAAAAAAGAAUUCUGGCCUUGACCCAGACUGACUGCUGUGUCCAGCCUGGAAAGCAGCAGGUGGGGAUCCUGCUGCCUGGGUUGCAACAAAGGGCAGCACCUGUAGGUCGGACGAAGGGGCCAGCGAGGACCCAGGGCCAGCUUGGAGCAGGAGCGAAGACAGGCCAGCCUCCAGCCAGCUUUCUGUAUGUGGGGAGUCUUCAGGGGAAUAGGCCAAAUCAUGCCGUCUGCUUUCUCCAAAGCCCAAACACAGCAAAUCCCUAGUAACACAUUUAAAGAGGUCUGUCCGCUCCCCAUGAAGUCAGCCUGAACUUUGGAACCAGUCUAGGGUUCAAAUCUAGACUCACCCCAUGGGACGUCGAGGAGUGCUGGGGGGAGCUGGAGGGGCUCUAUCCCCCCCUCCGAGGGCUCCCACCAGCCACCCCAAGGACGAAAGAAAAAUAGCACCACCUCUAUCAACACUGUAAAAGGCUAGGGCCAAAUGCAUCAUUAGGAAAAUGCAAAAGAGGUGGCUUUGAACUUGGUGAGACAUCAUGAGCAGAGCUCACCCUCCCGAGCUGCAGAAACUUAUGGACAAAAAGUGACUGUUGAAAUUAAAUGGAGAACAGACUUGUGGUUACCCAGGGGGAGGAGGAGGGAGUGGGAUGAGCUGGGAGCCUGGGGUUGGUAGAGGCAAACGACUGCAUUUGGAGCGCGUGAGCCAUCAGGACCUACUGUACGGAGACCUGUGUCCAGUCUCUUGGGAUAGAACACGAUGGGGGGAUAAUAUGAGAAAAAGAAUGUAUAUAUGUGUAUGACUGGGUCACUCUGCUGUACAGCAGAAAGUGGCACAGCACUGUAAGUCAACUAUACUUUAAUAAAAAAACAAAAAGAGUUCCCGUUGUGGCUCA